This 1139-nucleotide ribosomal RNA is filed under the name Salmonella enterica subsp. enterica serovar Indiana. RNAcentral's name for it is "partial 23S ribosomal RNA". It matches the Rfam family "Bacterial large subunit ribosomal RNA", at positions 681 to 1733 of the family's 2925-position model. The record is from RNAcentral. Lineage: Bacteria; Pseudomonadati; Pseudomonadota; Gammaproteobacteria; Enterobacterales; Enterobacteriaceae.
GUCUUAAUUGGGCGUUAAGUUGCAGGGUAUAGACCCGAAACCCGGUGAUCUAGCCAUGGGCAGGUUGAAGGUUGGGUAACACUAACUGGAGGACCGAACCGACUAAUGUUGAAAAAUUAGCGGAUGACCUGUGGCUGGGGGUGAAAGGCCAAUCAAACCGGGAGAUAGCUGGUUCUCCCCGAAAGCUAUUUAGGUAGCGCCUCGUGAAUUCAUCUCCGGGGGUAGAGCACUGUUUCGGCUAGGGGGCCAUCCCGGCUUACCAACCCGAUGCAAACUGCGAAUACCGGAGAAUGUUAUCACGGGAGACACACGGCGGGUGCUAACGUCCGUCGUGAAGAGGGAAACAACCCAGACCGCCAGCUAAGGUCCCAAAGUCAUGGUUAAGUGGGAAACGAUGUGGGAAGGCCCAGACAGCCAGGAUGUUGGCUUAGAAGCAGCCAUCAUUUAAAGAAAGCGUAAUAGCUCACUGGUCGAGUCGGCCUGCGCGGAAGAUGUAACGGGGCUAAACCAUGCACCGAAGCUGCGGCAGCGAACGUAUCACCCAAGACAACUUUGCGGAGUUGACGAUUGACGGAGCGAAGCGACGUCAAAGCGUUCAUUAAAGUCGAGUUGGCUUAGGGAUACGUUCGUUGGGUAGGGGAGCGUUCUGUAAGCCUGUGAAGGUGGCCUGUGAGGGUUGCUGGAGGUAUCAGAAGUGCGAAUGCUGACAUAAGUAACGAUAAAGCGGGUGAAAAGCCCGCUCGCCGGAAGACCAAGGGUUCCUGUCCAACGUUAAUCGGGGCAGGGUGAGUCGACCCCUAAGGCGAGGCCGAAAGGCGUAGUCGAUGGGAAACGGGUUAAUAUUCCCGUACUUGGUGUUACUGCGAAGGGGGGACGGAGAAGGCUAUGUUGGCCGGGCGACGGUUGUCCCGGUUUAAGCGUGUAGGUGUGUGUUCCAGGUAAAUCCGGUUCACUUUAACACUGAGGCGUGACGACGAGGCACUACGGUGCUGAAGCAACAAAUGCCCUGCUUCCAGGAAAAGCCUCUAAGCAUCAGGUAACAUCAAAUCGUACCCCAAACCGACACAGGUGGUCAGGUAGAGAAUACCAAGGCGCUUGAGAGAACUCGGGUGAAGGAACUAGGCAAAAUGGUGCCGUAA